ACUGCUCAGUAACACGUGGACAACCUACCCUUGGGUCUGGCAUAAUCCUGGGAAACUGGGGAUAAUUCCGGAUAGGUCACAGAUGCUGGAAUGCACUGUGGCCGAAAGCUCCGGCGCCCAAGGAUGGGUCUGCGGCCUAUCAGGGUUGUAGUGGGUGUAACGGACCUACUAGCCUACGACGGGUACGGGUUGUGAGAGCAAGAGCCCGGAGAUGGAUUCUGAGACACGAAUCCAGGCCCUACGGGGUGCAGCAGGCGCGAAAACUUUACAAUGCUGGCAACAGCGAUAAGGGAACCUCGAGUGCCAGGUUACAAAUCUGGCUGUCGAGAUGCCUAAAAAGCAUUUCAUAGCAAGGGCCGGGCAAGACCGGUGCCAGCAGCCGCGGUAAUAC
RNAcentral lists this ribosomal RNA (391 nucleotides) under uncultured archaeon. Its description in RNAcentral is "bacterial SSU rRNA". It matches the Rfam family "Archaeal small subunit ribosomal RNA", at positions 85 to 476 of the family's 1478-position model. The record is from RNAcentral.